UACCUACGGGGGGCAGCAGUGGGGAAUAUUGGGCAAUGGACGCAAGUCUGACCCAGCAACGCCGCGUGAAGGAAGAAGGCUUUCGGUAUGUAAAGCUCUAUCAGCAGGGAAGAAAGAAAUGACGGUACCUGACUAAGAAGCCCCGGCUAACUACGUGCCAGCAGCCGCGGUAAUACGUAGGGGGCAAGCGUUAUCCGGAUUUACUGGGUGUAAAGGGAGCGUAGACGGCGAUGCAAGUCUGAAGUGAAAGGAGGGGGCC
This 259-nucleotide ribosomal RNA is filed under the name uncultured bacterium. RNAcentral describes it as "partial 16S ribosomal RNA". It matches the Rfam family "Bacterial small subunit ribosomal RNA", at positions 335 to 609 of the family's 1533-position model. The record is from RNAcentral.